ACCUUUGACAUGUACGGAAUCCUUUAGAGAUAGAGGAGUGCUACGAAAGAGAACCGUAACACAGGUGCUGCAUGGCUGUCGUCAGCUCGUGUCGUGAGAUGUUGGGUUAAGUCCCGCAACGAGCGCAACCCUUGUUCAUUAGUUGCUACAUUCAGUUGGGCACUCUAAUGAGACUGCCGGUGACAAACCGGAGGAAGGUGGGAUGACGUCAAGUCCUCAUGGCCCUUAUAGGUGGGGCUACACACGUCAUACAAUGGAUGGUACAAAGGGUCGCCAACCCGCGAGGGGGAGCCAAUCCCAUAAAGCCAUUCGUAGUCCGGAUCGCAGUCUGCAACUCGACUGCGUGAAGUCGGAAUCGCUAGUAAUCGUGGAUCAGAAUGUCACGGUGAAUACGUUCCCGGGUCUU
This 406-nucleotide ribosomal RNA is filed under the name uncultured Acidovorax sp. RNAcentral describes it as "bacterial SSU rRNA". It matches the Rfam family "Bacterial small subunit ribosomal RNA", at positions 977 to 1382 of the family's 1533-position model. The record is from RNAcentral. Lineage: Bacteria; Pseudomonadati; Pseudomonadota; Betaproteobacteria; Burkholderiales; Comamonadaceae.